UGAGGAAUUUUGCGCAAUGGGGGAAACCCUGACGCAGCGACGCCGCGUGGAGGACGAAGGCCUUCGGGUCGUAAACUCCUGUCAAGAGGGACGAAGGUCGUGCGGAUGAAUAAGCCGUACGAUUGACGGUACCUCUGGAGGAAGCCCCGGCUAACUCCGUGCCAGCAGCCGCGGUAAUACGGAGGGGGCCAGCGUUGUUCGGAAUUAUUGGGCGUAAAGGGCGCGCAGGCGGCCAGGCAAGUUGGAGGUGAAAUCCCUCGGCUCAACCGAGGAACUGCCUCCAAUACUGCAUGGCUUGAGUCCCGGAGAGGGUAGCGGAAUUCCCAGUGUAGCGGUGAAAUGCGUAGAUAUUGGGAGGAACACCAGUGGCGAAGGCGGCUACCUGGACGGGUACUGACGCUGAGGCGCGAAAGCGUGGGGAGCAAACAGGAUUAGAUACCCCCGUAGUCC
RNAcentral lists this ribosomal RNA (450 nucleotides) under uncultured prokaryote. RNAcentral's name for it is "bacterial SSU rRNA". It matches the Rfam family "Bacterial small subunit ribosomal RNA", at positions 355 to 796 of the family's 1533-position model. The record is from RNAcentral.